CCUGGCUCAGGAUGAACGCUAGCUACAGGCUUAACACAUGCAAGUCGAGGGGCAGCAUGGUCUUAGCUUGCUAAGGCCGAUGGCGACCGGCGCACGGGUGAGUAACACGUAUCCAACCUGCCGUCUACUCUUGGACAGCCUUCUGAAAGGAAGAUUAAUACAAGAUGGCAUCAUGAGUCCGCAUGUUCACAUGAUUAAAGGUAUUCCGGUAGACGAUGGGGAUGCGUUCCAUUAGAUAGUAGGCGGGGUAACGGCCCACCUAGUCUUCGAUGGAUAGGGGUUCUGAGAGGAAGGUCCCCCACAUUGGAACUGAGACACGGUCCAAACUCCUACGGGAGGCAGCAGUGAGGAAUAUUGGUCAAUGGGCGAGAGCCUGAACCAGCCAAGUAGCGUGAAGGAUGACUGCCCUAUGGGUUGUAAACUUCUUUUAUAAAGGAAUAAAGUCGGGUAUGGAUACCCGUUUGCAUGUACUUUAUGAAUAAGGAUCGGCUAACUCCGUGCCAGCAGCCGCGGUAAUACGGAGGAUCCGAGCGUUAUCCGGAUUUAUUGGGUUUAAAGGGAGCGUAGAUGGAUGUUUAAGUCAGUUGUGAAAGUUUGCGGCUCAACCGUAAAAUUGCAGUUGAUACUGGAUAUCUUGAGUGCAGUUGAGGCAGGCGGAAUUCGUGGUGUAGCGGUGAAAUGCUUAGAUAUCACGAAGAACUCCGAUUGCGAAGGCAGCCUGCUAAGCUGCAACUGACAUUGAGGCUCGAAAGUGUGGGUAUCAAACAGGAUUAGAUACCCUGGUAGUCCACACGGUAAACGAUGAAUACUCGCUGUUUGCGAUAUACGGCAAGCGGCCAAGCGAAAGCGUUAAGUAUUCCACCUGGGGAGUACGCCGGCAACGGUGAAACUCAAAGGAAUUGACGGGGGCCCGCACAAGCGGAGGAACAUGUGGUUUAAUUCGAUGAUACGCGAGGAACCUUACCCGGGCUUAAAUUGCAGAUGAAUUACGGUGAAAGCCGUAAGCCGCAAGGCAUCUGUGAAGGUGCUGCAUGGUUGUCGUCAGCUCGUGCCGUGAGGUGUCGGCUUAAGUGUCAUAACGAGCGCAACCCUUGUUGUCAGUUACUAACAGGUUCCGCUGAGGACUCUGACAAGACUGCCAUCGUAAGAUGUGAGGAAGGUGGGGAUGACGUCAAAUCAGCACGGCCCUUACGUCCGGGGCUACACACGUGUUACAAUGGGGGGUACAGAGGGCCGCUACCACGCGAGUGGAUGCCAAUCCCCAAAACCUCUCUCAGUUCGGACUGGAGUCUGCAACCCGACUCCACGAAGCUGGAUUCGCUAGUAAUCGCGCAUCAGCCACGGCGCGGUGAAUACGUUCCCGGGCCUUGCACACACAGGGCG
Molecule: ribosomal RNA, 1383 nt
Filed under: uncultured bacterium
Lineage: Bacteria
Description: bacterial SSU rRNA
Rfam family: Bacterial small subunit ribosomal RNA
Source: RNAcentral